GGGAACCGGAGGGUGCUGGGAGGAGAGCAGCAGCCCUGCCUUGGGGUCCUGCCGGUCUUUUUAUGGGGCUUCCCGCCUCAGAUCCAGAAGCAGAAGGUGAAAGAGGGCAGGAUGCAUGGUUGCAGAGUGGAGAAGGGUGAAGGAAAGGAAAUGGCCUGUGUCACAGAGGGAGCACAGAGGACAGGAGGGCUGUCCUUCGUGGAUGAGGACUGGGACACUGAGGAAGCUGAUUUCUGAGCCAAGGGCCCACCCUCAGCAGGAGCAGCAAAUAGAUGCUCAAGCCAUCUGAUUCCUUGACCACACCCCCAGCCCCCCAGCCCCUUGGAUAAGGAUGCUGUCCAGAAAGAUUGUAAAUUGCUUUGAAAGCACCAGGUUUACAGGGACACCAUGGUCUGACUCACGUGGACAGCUGCAACAACAAAGGAGUCCAAG
Non-coding RNA from Vicugna pacos (alpaca), 432 nucleotides. NCBI's taxonomy places the organism in Eukaryota, Metazoa, Chordata, Mammalia, Artiodactyla, Camelidae. The record is from RefSeq and is a predicted model, not a curated record.